GCGCUCACUGAUGAUGAGGUUAUCUCGUAUCUUCUCGCUAGUAUUCCUUCUGAUUAUGAUCCUUUUGUUACUUCAAUGACCACGAAGAGCGAGCCCCUCACACUCGACAAUGUCUUUGCGCACUUGAUGGCGUACGAGG
RNAcentral lists this small nucleolar RNA (139 nucleotides) under Dichanthelium oligosanthes. RNAcentral describes it as "Small nucleolar RNA Z247". It matches the Rfam family "Small nucleolar RNA Z247". Rfam says of the family: Z247 is a member of the C/D class of snoRNA which contain the C (UGAUGA) and D (CUGA) box motifs. Most of the members of the box C/D family function in directing site-specific 2'-O-methylation of substrate RNAs. The record is from Rfam by way of RNAcentral. Lineage: Eukaryota; Viridiplantae; Streptophyta; Magnoliopsida; Poales; Poaceae.